AAGUCGUAACAAGGUUUCCGUAGGUGAACCUGCGGAAGGAUCAUUAUGAAUUUGAACUUGUGCUGUUUCAUUUUACUUGAACGCGCAAUUCUUUUUCUGUGAACUGGAAGUCGAGCAGUUGGCUCGUGUGCGUGUGUUGAAGCGUUUGUGUGUCUCUUUAUUGCGACAUGCGCGCGGCGCGCACGCACACGGCCCUGGUUGAUUUUGCCUUUUUUUGUUUUCUUGUUUUAUAUUCCAUGUAUAUUUUUUUUUUGUGUUUGGAGUAGCUUCUACUUGAAGCGAAACAAACGAAAAAAAAAAAAAUAACAAAAAAAACCAAGACAACUUUCAGCAAUGGAUCUCUUGGCUCUU
Molecule: unclassified non-coding RNA, 351 nt
Filed under: fungal sp.
Lineage: Eukaryota; Fungi
Description: partial internal transcribed spacer region
Rfam family: Eukaryotic small subunit ribosomal RNA (bases 1-46)
Source: RNAcentral